AUUGAACGCUGGCGGCAUGCUUUACACAUGCAAGUCGAACGGCAGCGCGGGCUUCGGCCUGGCGGCGAGUGGCGAACGGGUGAGUAAUGCAUCGGAACGUGCCCAGUAGUGGGGGAUAGCCCGGCGAAAGCCGGAUUAAUACCGCAUACGACCUGAGGGUGAAAGCGGGGGACCGAAAGGCCUCGCGCUAUUGGAGCGGCCGAUGUCGGAUUAGCUAGUUGGUGGGGUAAAGGCUUACCAAGGCGACGAUCCGUAGCUGGUCUGAGAGGACGACCAGCCACACUGGGACUGAGACACGGCCCAGACUCCUACGGGAGGCGGCAGUGGGGAAUUUUGGACAAUGGGGGCAACCCUGAUCCAGCCAUGCCGCGUGCGGGAAGAAGGCCUUCGGGUUGUAAACCGCUUUUGUUCGGGAAGAAAUCCUCUGGGCUAAUACCCCGGGGGGAUGACGGUACCGGAAGAAUAAGCACCGGCUAACUACGUG
Molecule: ribosomal RNA, 484 nt
Filed under: uncultured bacterium
Lineage: Bacteria
Description: partial 16S ribosomal RNA
Rfam family: Bacterial small subunit ribosomal RNA
Source: RNAcentral